UGCCUAUCCACAUGAAGAGUUAAUUGUGUUCCUGAUUAGCAUCGGAACAUUUGCCUGUUUAGGAUUCGAACCAAUCGCUGGUUUGAGAUCACGGAGCCUUGGAGCAAUACGAUGAUCUGUAUGCAAUUGGAUUCCAGAAUCUUUCAGGACGAUGCCAGCUGUAGCCAUUUGUAGGUUAACCUGGAGUGAUUCGUGAAGAUUAGUUUCAGGCUGGUCCAUUUGAAAUAUUAUUGUUUGUAUAAUUUUUUAUGCUUCAUCUUGAUGCACUUUUUGUGACGCUGGAAAGGUACUUGGUAGUUUCGUCGUCGGAGGUAUCGUUCCUCUUUAAGUAACGGAUUUCUCUAAGCAACGGAUUACUUAUUCACCUGUAUCGUGUGACAAGAGGAAACAUGAAACUUCUGUAACUCUCAAGUAGCAGGCAUGGUAGCCUUUCUCGUCAAACAUUCCCACCACACCGCAAUUCUGUUGGAUGUUGUGCGUGCCUUCCUAGUUCGUGCAAAACGGCUGAGUACGCAGGAUUCCUAAACUAUCAUGAAGUGUUCCUGCCGAUUCUUUCCUCGAAGGUGCAAGAUGCCCCGAACGGCACUAUGUAUGUUGUAAUACCUUCUCAAGUUUCCGUUUUAGAACAGUUCAGAUCUGACUACUGGUGGGUAGUUAGGCCUAUUUUCGAGGAUUGCACUCUUUCGUGGGAUUUUUCUAAAAGCUAGAAUUGUACUUUUCAUGAGACGGAGGGGUACUCUCGUGGGUCAUUUCCAAGUUCCAACACAUGUUGGAAAAGCAAAGGAGUGUCAAUUCCUCACCCAAGUGAAAAUAACCCUUCCCUCACUUGACUAUACGAUCCGAGAUCGACGUCUGAGAUCGAACCGGCCUCCUCCUUUAUCUCGUCCACCGGUCACCCCACCUUAUCCGCUCACCUCCACCCAACGCCGCCCACUGCCUCCUCCCCGCUGCCUUACCGGCGCCGGCGCGGCCCACCCUCCCACCGCCUCCCCUCCCUCCUCCGUCCCCACCAUCCGUCGUCGCUACUGCUUCACCGGCGCCGUUCCUUCACCACCGCCGUCGGCUACGUCGCCCCUGCCCCCGCCCCGGCACCGCCCAACCGCCUUCCACCACCGCCUGACCGGCGGCGCCCCCGCAACCGCCACCUCCGUCGGGCCAGCCUCCCGCCGCCGGUCCUCCCUCUAAGGCCAUCGGUGAGUUCCCAACCUCGAAAACCCUAACCACCGAACCCCCUAAUCUCGCCAGAGCUGCUCGUCGGAGCUCAAAUCCAGCAAGGAAAAAAUCGAACGAGGGAAGACCAUGUUUUACUUGGGUGAGAUAUAGCUUUUGCCAAAAGCAAAGAGCUUACGUCGAUCAAACACUACAUCGCGAAAGUUCACGUUAAGUUCAUACACGCAAGUAAUACUGCAGUUCAGAAUUUGGAAAGUGUGAAUUAGUUAUAACAGCUAGUUUGACUGUAGGUCUCUCGCUUUGAAAUUUCUGCCAAGAUUUCUAUUCUGGUCCAUGCGAAUUCGGGCUGGCCCGUGCCAAUUGCCAGCCUCUCGCAAGGCACGGAGCGGCCCAAUAAAGGCGAGCAACCAAGCAGAGAGAGAGAGGCGCCGCCCGCAACGAACACCCACCAGCUCGGCCGCCUCCCCACGCUCCUCUCCCCUAGCCCCAGGCCCCGCUCUCCAUUGCAGGAGGGAAAGGGCGCACCAACUCCGGAGCCCAAACCCUCAACCCCCACCGCGCCGCUCCGCCCCACCCGCACAUGGCCUCCCCCUCCCGCUCCCCCGCCGCCGCCCGCCGCGGCCGCAGCGCGCGGCAGUCCCCCUUCUUCCGCGACCUCGCCUCCCCGAUCCCGUCCCACCGCGGCGCCUCUCGCUUCGCGUCGUCCGCGUCCACCGCCGCGGCCCCCUCCGCGACGCCACCGCCGCCGCCCAUCUUCACCCUCGACGACCGCUACGCCUCCGCGGACUUCUCCCCGGACCCCACCGCCUCCGACCUCCUCCCCGUGGCCUCGUCCCCGUCCCCGCGCGCCGCCGCCAGCCGCUCGCCGUCAUGGGACCGGUCCCGGGGCAGGGUGGCGCUCUCGGCACCGGGAUCCCCCAUGGAUGGGGUCGUGGAGCCGGCCCGGAAGGAGGUGCUCGCACUGCCUCCGCCUGCGAGCCCUGGCACCCCACCUCUUGCUACCACAGCGGAGGCGCAGUCGUCUGUGACCCCCGCACAGGCACCGGUUAGGACGGAGCCGGUGGCGAACGGAGGGGAGGCGGAACGGGAGGAGUGGGUCACAGUAUUCGGGUGAGAAAAUGAUGCUUAUGCUCUGUUUUGCACUGGAUUAGCUUAGAAAUGUGUGUUGGCAGACGCGUAUGCACAUGUUAGAUUUGGUUCUCGAAAUAGCUUCGGUGCGUGUUCGUCCUGAGUUGACGCUCCUGGCAUUUGCUUGCUCCUGUUUGUUUUUUCCCGGAUAUUAAUUUGUACCCCUGAUUGUUGGUACCUUAUAUGAUAUAGAUUGAUUUCUUUGCGUUUGUACUCUUUUAUACAGAUUCUCUAUUGGAGAUACCAACCUUGUUCUUCGGGAAUUCGAGAAAUGUGGAGUAAUAUUGAGACACCACUCUGGUCCAAGAGAUGGUAACUGGAUUCACAUAUUGUACCAGGUAAUGACACAUUCAACCACUGGCGUGCUUCCAUUUUCUGUUGCUGUUUGAUUUCUUGUAUCUUUGUUAUCUGAAGCUCAGGUUGCCCUGUUGCUUACCAGCGGUUUUUAGUUGCUAGUGAACUGUAACAACUGGACAAAUCAUUUAUGCUCCUACACCUCCAUAAGGCAGAUACAUAGAGUUGAUUUUCCAAUAUUUGAAGGGGUUGAAUAAAUGUUUGUCAUAUCAGCUUCAGUUAAUAGGAUGGCGUUUUGAGCUGUGCCACCAUGAGCACCAAGUUUUUUCCUCAUGUGUUACGUGUACCUGUUAUCCUUUGAACAUGAAGCAUGUUGGUGUCUUAUGUUUUCACAAUCACAUCCUCGAAUGUAGUGCCACAAGGAUUUGGGAUUAUUAUGUUUCAAAAUUUUCAUCUUGUAGCACAAUCCAUCGUUAUGUGAUGAUGGGUUUGUGGACAUCCGCGCAUUCUGGGUUAGUAGAUGUUGGAAGAACAAAAGCAAAAGGUAUAGUCUUGUGAGGCUUGCUAAAUAACCUUCACCCAGUUGAGCUAUAAGGCUUACUCAAAUGGCAAUCCUUUGAACCCCUUUUCACCAUCAAGUAGUUUUGUUGUUGGUAGCCUUUUUCAUGUAUUUAGACUAAGAACCUGUUACUACCGAUUUUACCUUUCUGGAUGGACUUUCUCUUCAAAGUUCAAAAGUCUCAGAUGAAUUUAAACUGACUGCUUUCACCAUUGUAUAUUUGGUAUUGAAGCGCUCGUACGACGCUCGGAAGGCCCUCCAGAAAAAUGGUAUCCAACUAAGCAGUGGGCUCAUAGUUGGAGUAAAGCCUAUUGAUCCAGUGCAUCGUCAGCAGCUGGAUCAGAGGUUAAUUGGAAGCAACCAAGGAGGUUUUAUGGUUUCCUUGCCUUCAAAGUCACUUGCCUUGAAGAGCACAGGCGCAUCGAACCAGCUAGGAGCUUUGCCCCGCCCAUAUGACCCGAAGGCUAACACAAAUGUUAACCGAGAUGCAGGCCGUCGUGCAACCGGCAGUGUUGCUGCACCCGCAAAAUCAAUUGUAACCAAUGUGAUGGAUUUGAUAUUCGGCAUUUGAUAUGCCAAUGAUGACCUAUUGAUACAUCGUGAGCAUUCUCAGUUUCUUCUGUUUACUCAUUUGAGAAUGCCAGAACGCCAAAGAUUGGGCAGCAAAUUUUGCUGAAACUGAGAGAUUACAAAGAGUAAACUUCUUUCUUUUUGGCGAUGUAACAUUCAUAUUGUGCAAUUUUUCACGUUUAGUUGCACUUAUGCUGUCUUAUGAUCUGCCUAGAUGAGGGCACCUGCUGUAUGCUGGUGGCUAUGCUCCUUUUGGAGUGGGAGAUUUUGAUAUUUUUAAUGGCCCUAAUCUUCUGCCGUUUUAAAGUGUCACAUUACUUUGUUACCUGCUGAAAUAGGUGCUGGUAAAGAAUUUUGGGAAAAUCGUGCCACCCUCUGUGAAAUACUGUAUGUAUUUGAGACAUAUCAGGUCAAAGCUGAAUGACAGAUCGUGUUACAAGUCAGCUGGGGAAUUUUCUCCACUGAUUUCUUUUUCUGUUUUGUACACCCAAAGAUUUUCCUGUGGUCCCAAGCCGUAGCUGCUUUCUGAUUGGCUAGUUUGCUGGAAAACAUGUCAUCGAACCAAUCAGGAGCCUUCUGGUUCUGGCCGGAAAGGAGAAAGACAAUCCUGAUGAAAGAAAUCAACGGCCUAGAUUGUUCGUUCCCCUCGAAAUUUCACUUUAGUCCUUGCUUUUGUCGACGCGACGAAUAUUUCCACUUAUCACUCGAAAAACCUUUUAUACAAUGUAUAUUUAUUAACUGGAAAUUAACCUUCACAGCCAUAGAAAAAUAAAGGAACAAAUUUAGUAAAAGAGGACAUGAGAACUUUGCAGCGCGGGUACCGUUUCCUGAGAUAACACAAUUUCCAGGGGCUUACCCGCAAAAAGAGCAAUAAAUCUCGGUCCCCUUGUGCUGGACUGGAGCACCCAGUUCGCGAUCGCGAGGUCUUCGUCUCCGCCUGGGUCCAGCGCUGGGAUUUCCGCGCCCUCCACCCACACAGCCAACGACGUUGCCGCAAUGGCGGAGCCGGUCUCCUCCGCGGCGGCCAGCGGCGGCGGGAGACUCCGCAACGCCUUCGGCGGCGUGCUCUGCGCCUUCACGCUCCUCCUCAUCGGCGUCGUCGCGUUCUCGAUCCGCCUCUUCUCCGUAAGAUCCGUUUUGCCCCCGAGCCUCCAGAUCCAGUUCGGUGCUCGCAAGGCGCUCCGGGAAUUGUGUGUGCUCAUCCUUCAUGGCUGUUGGCGCGCAGGUAAUCAAGUACGAGAGCGUGAUCCACGAGUUCGACCCCUACUUCAACUUCCGCGUCACUCAGGUGUGAUUGCUGGUUCCCUUCAUUUCACCUUUUUCGUUUUGUUCUGGAGUAUUUGGAAUUGAGCUCGGUCCAUAGGAGAUUACGGUGUCUUAUUGAUUCUGCGCUUUGGCGUUGAGAGGGUUCUGGGUUUUGGAAAUUGACUGUUGCCUGGUAGAUUUAGUUUACUGUGAGAUGGUUAGGGAAGUAUAGAGCAAGUGAGGAUCACGUAGGGCCCUAAAUUGUUGGAUGAAACAGUUAUAUUCCAUAUCUGGUCUCAAUUUCCCCUUGCUACAGUUUCUGUCGAAGAAUGGAAUUUACGAGUUCUGGAACUGGUUUGAUGAUAGGACAUGGUAAGAGCAGCUCCAACCUCUCAAUUGUGCAGUACUGUGCGACUUCUGUGUAAAAUGGAAUGUACCAUACAAAUAGUUGGCUGAUUUCAUUGCUGUUGCUGCUGUUUUAGGUAUCCCCUUGGCCGUGUGAUUGGUGGCACUGUGUAUCCUGGUUUGACAUUGACUGCUGGAACUAUGUGGUGGUAUGUCAACAAAGGGAUACACUUUACUGUCUUGCAUUCCUUCUGAUUACUGCAGAUACAUGCCUAAAGUAUUUGAAUGAUCCUCUAGGUUGGUGAACGCUCUUAACAUCCCAUUGUCUGUGGAGACAGUUUGUGUGUUCACUGCUCCAAUUUUCUCGGCAAAUGCUUCCUGGGCUACUUACCUGUUAACAAAGGUUGUUUUUUCAAAGAAGUGUGAGUUAUCACGCUAUUCUCAUCUAUCUGCAAAUCAUGUGCUUACUUUUGAUUUUUCCUAUAGGAAGCAAAGGGCACAGGAGCUGGAUUAAUGGCAGCAGCCAUUUUGGCAAUGGUAAAUUGCACCAACAACUUACCUAUCGCUUUUGACCAUUAUAAAAAAUGCUGAAUUGGUAAAAAACUUAUUUGUUUGAUUUAUUGAUAUCUAGCCAUUUUCAUGUCAUGGUGGAAAUGAAAAUAAAAAAUUUCUUUGAUUAAACUAGAUAGUUAGUUAAUUUCUGUUAAACAUUCAUGUAAGUGUAAAUAGAAGAGUGGUACAAUUUGCAAUACUAUCUGUGAUUGCUGAUUUCUUCAUCCUGAACAUAUAUUUCUAAACUCGUUAGGAGUUCGCUGAAUGACUGACUGAAUCUGUGCUAUGUUGACAGUCAAGUACUUGACAAUUUGAGUUUCCUCAGUUACUUGGGUUUACGAUAAAUUUUCUACAUGAUUUUGUUUGUAUUGCCCAAUUGUAACACUGCAUUGAGAUAGCAGCAUGAUGUUUAAUUUUAAGCUACUCACCUAUUUCUUAGGAUACUGUAUUAUCUAUGUAUGUAGUCUUCCAUACUGUAAUAGUACUGUACCGUUAAUUGGAAUGUUGUUCUCUCGACAUCAUCACAGGUCCCCUCAUAUAUCUCAAGAUCUGUUGCAGGCAGCUAUGAUAAUGAAGCUGUGGCAAUAUUUGCCUUGAUAUUUACAUUUUAUCUGUAUGUAAAGGUAAUGGUCCUUGAGAUGUGUUUUCCAUUUUGCUUCUUUUAACAUAAUUCAAUUCUCUGACUUGUAUGCAAAUGAUAUACAGACACUGAACACAGGGUCGCUCUUUUAUGCAACGCUCAACGCUCUUUCCUAUUUCUACAUGGUAAACUUGUUAAAGUUUCAUUCAUGUUUUUCAAAUGUAUUUUAUAAUCAUAUAUUAGCCCUUUCCAGGUCUGCUCUUGGGGAGGCUACACAUUCAUUAUCAACCUUAUCCCAAUGCAUGUUCUCUUGUGCAUUGUUACUGGUCGUUAUUCUUCGCGGCUCUACAUUGCAUAUGCUCCCCUUGUAAGUGCAUAAGCUUCCUCUUGUAGAUGUGCCCUUCUUGCCGGUGUGCUCGUCUGGAAACCAUAGCUUAUCAGAUCAAUGGAUCAUUUUGCAGGUUAUACUUGGAACACUUCUAGCAGCCUUAGUACCUGUGGUUGGUUUUAAUGCAGUAAUGACCUCUGAGCACUUUGCAUCAUUUCUGGUACCUACACGCCUUCUCUCCUUUCUUGAUAUUUCUCCAUUCCGCAAAUGUUUGCUACUUGUGCGUGGGUUCCUAAUUUUAGGACUCUUGAUUUCUCAAGUUUGAGAGAAUGUUGGAGUAAGAUAAAAUGCAUCUCCAAGAUGUUGAGACCAAAUGCAAGAGUGCAUUGAUAUUCUUCAUUGCAGUUCAUAUAUAGUAUAUGUACAAUAAAUACUAACCCCAUUUCACGAUAUUUGUCCAACUACAUUGCACAGUGCACACACGGACUAAUCCAUAUCAUUGCUAAUUUGCUACCAUAUUGGAGAAAUGCAAAAUUGCACUUUCAAUAUCAUUGAUGACAAUAUACUUAUUACAGGUGUUCAUAAUCCUUCACGUGGUUGCUCUUGUGUAUUACAUCAAAGGGCUUUUGACUCCUAGGCUGUUCAAAGUUGCUAUGACUCUUGUCAUAUCUGUUGGCUUGUAAGUCUUUGACCUUACCAAUCUUUCAUAAUACACAAUAGACUAUUAGCCAUCUAGCUUUAUCUUUGGACCUUGUAACCAACAAACAUCUAGUCAUCAGAAUAUUGUCUGACUAAUUUUCUAAGUGAAUCUGCUAUAAAUCUCCAAAUGCUGAUUGCAAGAUCCUUCCUGCAGAGCUGUUUGUUUUGCAGUAGUAGCUGUACUUGUCGCAUUGGUGGCAUCUAGUCCAACAAAAGGCUGGAGUGGCCGCAGCUUGAGUCUACUUGACCCGUAAGUUCUUCUAAAAUGAAAGGCAUUUAUUUUGCCAAUCAAAAUAAUGAUUAACCUGACCUGGGAACUGAUAGACAUGAAAUAAUACUUAAUUAUAACCUGCUGUUAUUAGGUUUUAUUUUUUUAGUGUAGCAGACUAUUUAAUGUUGCCAUGUGAUACUUAACCUCUGAGACAAAUAAAAGUGGUUUACGUCAAUAUUGCCAGUUGCCACAUCUUAUUAGUCUUUCUGAUGCUGCUGAUUUCUGUGCAAAGUGUCAUGAUAGAGUAUGCUUGUUCCGCUUCUCUUGUGUUAAUUGCUCCACCUUCAUUCUUGCUUUUCUGACAGAACUUAUGCAAGCAAGUACAUCCCCAUCAUUGCCAGUGUCAGUGAACACCAACCUCCUACCUGGCCCUCUUAUUUUAUGGACAUCAAUGUGUUGGCCUUCCUGAUUCCUGCUGGGAUUAUUGUAAGAAAUUCACCUUUUAAAUUGAAAUUGUCUCAGCACCAGUCUUACUUCUGAUUAAUCAAUAUUUACUUGAUCCACAGUCAUGCUUCUUGCCUUUGUCUGACGCAAGCUCCUUCAUGGUCUUGUACUUAGUCACUGCAGUGUAUUUUUCUGGAGUAAUGGUAAGAAUCCUUGCAGUAGGAAAAAUCUCAUAGCAUCAUAUGUUUUCAAUAUUUAUUUAUUUGUUAACUUUCUGUGGCAUCCAUUCUUUGCUAGGUGCGGCUUAUGCUUGUCCUUGCUCCUGCUGCGUGCAUUUUAUCUGGGAUUGCUCUCUCUGAAGUUUUCGGUGUCCUCACACGAUCCAUUAAAUUUCAGCUGUCAAAAUUAUUUGAUGAUAACUCUGCUGCUGUUUCUGCUGUACGGUUGCUUCUUUCAUUGUUUUUUUUUCCUUUCUUUGUAAGAAUUGAAGUAGCCUUUCAAUCACUUGUUGACAAUCUGUUUCUUCUGGAUCUUAAGUCUGGUGACAGUGGCCCAGAGAGUUCUACAAAUUCAACAAAAAGUGAAAAUAGGAAUGAAAAAUCUGAAACAGCUCCAAAGGAAAAACCAUCAAAGAAGAACCGAAAGAAGGAAAAAGAAGUGGCAGAGAGUGUUCCUGUAAAGCCUAAAAAAGAAAAGAGGCUUUUGGUUCUGCCUUUUGAAUUAUCCAUUAUGGGUAUUUUGUUGCUGAUUGUGCUAGGUGGUUUCUAUGUAGUAAGUCCUCUGUUCUCCGUUUCAGAAAGAAUGUGUCUUCAUAGAAAGGGAGACAUCUUACCGUUACUGCUGCCACUUUUGCAGGUCCAUUGUGUAUGGGCAGCAGCUGAAGCGUACUCCGCACCUUCAAUCGUGCUGACAUCUCGUUCACGUGAUGGAUUGCAUGUUUUUGAUGAUUUCCGUGAAGCUUAUGCAUGGCUGAGCCAUAACACAGAUGUUGACGACAAGGUAUGCUCACCCCUUGGCUUCUAUUGUUUCUUGGACUGGUUUUUAUACUUGCAGUAAGAUGUUUUACUCUAGGUUGCUUCCUGGUGGGACUAUGGUUACCAAACAACUGCAAUGGCCAACAGAACUGUGAUUGUAGACAAUAAUACCUGGAACAACACUCACAUAGCAACAGUUGGUACAGCAAUGUCAUCCCCGGAAAAAGCAGCUUGGGAAAUCUUCAAUUCUUUAGAUGUCAAAUAUGUGCUUGUUGUCUUCGGAGGUUUGUGCUUUAUGGCGCAUAGGGGAAAAAUUCAAUGUACGUUGAACCAUUGGUCCCAAAUCCUGACAUCGGAUUUUUCCUUUACAGGGCUUGUUGGCUACCCUAGUGAUGAUAUCAAUAAGUUUCUUUGGAUGGUUCGCAUAGGAGGUGGUGUAUUCCCACACAUCAAGGAGCCAGAUUAUCUUGUGAGUUGUAUACUUUGUUCUUCAACAAUACCUUAUACACAUCAUUUUGGUAUCAUAAUAGAGAAAAAGUUAAAUACACACACAUUUGCUUCCUUCUUCUUUAUUCUAAUUUCUGAGUUAAUGUUAUCCGCAGAGGGAUGGCCAGUACCGUGUUGAUGCUCAAGCCACUCCUACUAUGCUGAAUUGCCUCAUGUACAAGCUUUGCUAUUACAGGUCUGGUACACUGAAUCCAGCAAACCAUUUUUUUCUCAAAACGCGGGAUAUCUAUUCUCUUUGUGGUCAGCAAACCAAUUUUAGUUGGAAUAUCCAAUCACCACACACAUGUCCUUUUGACAUUACUUCCUUUGUGCCUUCUAGGUUUGUGGAGACUGAUGGAAAAGGCUUCGACAGAGUAAGAGGAUAUGAAAUUGGAAAGAAGCAUUUCAAGCUAACACAUUUUGAGGAGGUAUUAUGAUGCUGAUGUCUGUUCCAAUUAGCAAACAAUUGAAUUUUCACCUAUUUUCUAACUCGACCCUUUUCUUGAUGUUUUACCCAUCUUGGUGCUGAAUAAAGGUAUUCACAACCCACCAUUGGAUGGUCCGUAUUUAUAAACUGAAACCCCAGAAGAACAGGGUUCGAGGCAAGUUGAAGAAGUUGAAAUCUGUAAGCCCGACAACCUUCUAUUAUGAUGCAUCCUUGUUAUUUGCUAGCCCAUCCUAAAAUCAUUCUCUGGUUAUUUUUGUACCCGCAGAAUGCCAAAACUAGUUCCACCCUUGCGGCAGGCCGAAAGAAGAACCCGUGGCAAUAGAUGAAGUUAACAAUAGUGUCAUUUACUUGAUACUUGCUGUUGCUAGGUCAACUGCACUAAGCUUGUGAACCAGAAAACCACAGGACUAGAUUAGAGAUAUCUGCACUGUUGUUGUAUUUGACCCUCGUUAUAUGUUCUUGGAACCGGCCAGCGGGGUGCUGAUGAAAUUUUUGAUAGACCUGAGCAAAUUUUUCGCGCCCUUUUUCUGGUAUACUGUUCGUGUCGUUUGCACUGAAGAUGCAAGAUUGAAAGGCGUCUGUUAGAACGAGGUCAGAAUGGUCGUGGGUGUAUUUGCUGCCAUUAAUUUAACGUUGAAUCACACGCCUUAAAAUUUCAAUUCAACUAUUUGAUGGGUUGCUUUGUUGUUUUGUGCUGGGUUGAUAAGGAGUUCUGGCAUUCAUGCAAGCACCAACUGAAGCAUCGUUGCAUGUACAAAUAUCAGAUCCCAACCAAACAUCACUGAGUGCUCCGGUCUAGGAACUGAUCCAAAGGAUAUUUUCAAUGUGAUGUUUUAAUGAAUCCAGUGAAUAUGUAAUCUGAUACAGUAUGGGAACGUGUAACCCAAUACAAAAUUCGGGUAUGCUAUACGUUUCUAGAUUCUCCGCAGACCAGAGCACAUUGCCGUUCGUUUCAGUCUGCCAAGGCCUUUUCAUUACUAUAUGCUCACGACCAAUAAGUGAGUCAGUGUUAUCGUAUUAUUUUACAAUGAUCUCUCAAAUCUGCAAUCUGAACAACGAAGAAAUUUUCAGAAAAAGAAGGGAUGGGCAAAAAUCCAAGGCAAAGAUAAAGUGUUUGAGAUAAUGCUAGCAUGCCGAGGUAUCGAAACAAUGCUGUAUCAUCUGCUCCAAUUUUUGGAACUGUAAAACUAGUAAUUCUCAAUGAUGAGAAGUGAAGACGCUCUUGAAUUGGAUUAAGCAUAUGGUCAUCAAGUGUCUUGAAUUGAAAUCUGUAGCUCAUGAAUUCACUCACUUCUGGUCUGUAUAGACUGCAUCAACAUCAUCAAGCUCUAGCAAUUUUGAUACAAGCUCCUUAUUUAGUUCCAUGGCCUCGUCAUCCACCUGCAACAACAAUAUGGGAAGUGUCACAGAUACUAUGAUGCUCUCAGCAAAAGAAUCAAAAUGUGCACACAUGGCCAUGGCCAAUGAACUACAUUAUGAAGAAUUAGCCUUUAUGGAAGUAUGACAGCAACCUUCACUCAGAGAAACCUAUUAUAGCAUUGAUUCACUAUCUUGCAACUCAUGCGUGCGUACCUCAAUUGGGUUCAGAGGAAGAAGUUCGUAGCCAUUAUCAGUUUCAAACUUUAGUCCUUCCUCCUGCAGCUUCGAUAGCACAACUGGAUAGUUGUCUGAUGUAGUAACUAUCUUGUAGAACCUAGGACAGAAAGGGGCAGUUUUCAGAUGAAAGGAGAAUUUCUAUGAAGAAUGUGGCUAAAUGCACUAAACAAGAAAGUCAAGCACCAGGAAUAUCACAUGUAAUUUGUAUACUAUCUACUUAUCUAUAAAGCCACCUUAAUCAUGGCCCGAAAUUAAAGCAUGCCAAAUAUAUAAAUUCUUGACUACAUUGCGUUCUGCCUUUAACAAAGUUUUUCUGUAUGCCUUUGAAGAAGUGACCACAUAACCUAUGUUUUGUUAACUGGUACUUACAAGAAAAAUGGACAAACCAAUCUAAUGUAUCGCAACUUCAGAUUUAACCCCAAAAAAAUGCAUGUGGCUUUAUAUGAAUAAGUACCUUUCUAUUUCUUCUUCAGAGUCAUCAUCAUCAUCAAAAUUUGGUUCAAGGACAUCAUCGGCACCAGCAUCUAACGCAAUGGAGAGCAGUUGGUCCUUACCAGCAUCAGUAACUUUUAUAUUCACCACUCGAGCUUGUCUGAAUCUAAAGGUAACAGACCCAGGAUCAGCCAAUUUUGCUCCACAGUCUUUUACCACAUUUCUAAUGUCAGCAACCGAUCUUGUAAUUUUGUCAGUUAGGACCUCCACGAUCAUACCUACUCCACCAAAACCAUAGACCUGUGAAAAUGCUUCGUAUAUUUAAAAACAUUUGCAAAACACAUAAAAAAAAGUUAUCUGCACUCUGAGUAACUCCUGGCACACAAUCCUACUCCAUAUCUGAACCAGCCAAUUUAAUUUUGUGCAUGCAAAUAUAAUAUAUUGCCAUUAGGCAAGCGUUAUCUAUGUCACAAAAUGAGGAUCUAUUGACAAAGUAUCACAUCAAACUAGUGGAAGAGAAAGUUUACCUCAUAAACCUUUUCUGUGUAAGUAUCUUGGUCCUUUUCUGAUGCCCUUUUGAUGUUACGCUCCAAAAUUUCUUUGGGGAUAUCAAGUUCCCUAGCUUUCUCCAAUAUUGCUGCUAAAGCUGUGUUGGAUGAAGGGCUUGGGCCACCCUUCUUGAUGCUGUAUGAUACCCAUAAAAAAGAAAGAGAUGAAUUUAUAUGAAUGGCACCUUGCGCUAUAGUGCUUGGUCUUGCCAGCCAUUUUAACAAGGUCUGCCUCUUGCUAGGAGUCAAUGGUAUUCACUAUAGUAGGUACUAAUUAGGUAAUGAUUAAUCAUAGAGCACAACAGCAAUGCCCUAGCAAGACAUGAGUAAAAACACAGAUAUACUGAGAAUGUAUAGCAGACAUGUAUGGAACCGAAUCAUGUCCGGGUUAUGUAAAAUAAAAAAAAUGGUAUCCAGGUUACUCAAAGAGGUCAUGGCAACAGAUGUUAGCAGGUGACAACGUAUUGGAUUAAGCAUAUGCUCAAAACAGUUCAAAUUACUAAAUCAAUGAAAUACCAAGCUGUGAUGAAGAUAAUGCAAGAUCAAAGGGUCCAGCAGCACCUACGCAGAAACAAUUUCUUUUCCAAUUUUGCUGUUGCGCUUCAUCUUUUUCAAAUUCUGGGCAUCCUGAACCAAAGGAAAUUAGGUGUGAGAAUACAUAUGAGAAGUUAAAGCUAAGUAGCUAACUACACUAAACAAGCAAUGGAUGUCUCUUCCUGUUAGUUCUUCUUUAUACUCAUUUCUCCUUAUGCAAAGGAAAGUAAUGCCACUUACUUAGCAGCAAAGCUUGCUCAGAGACAUGGAAAAUACUAAACACAUGAUAUUUGUUGUUGCAUCUGCAUCCACUUCCAUUAUUCCAGGCAGAGGCUUGCCAACCAAAAUAUGCAUAGCGAGCCGUCACAAAUUCUGAACUACUGUAACAUUGUGCAGAAGAACAUGCAAAGGGCAAAUCAGUACAUCACCUUCCUUCCGGCGAUCUUGCAGGAGCGUCGCCCCAUGCAGAGCGGCUGGAACGUCGAAAUCCUCCGCCUCGCGGCAUGCCUCCGGAACAGGCCAGCGUUGCCAAUAGGUUCAAUCCCUGUCCCUGACGACACUAGCAAACAAUCAAGACACCAAACAUUUCAACAGCCCAAGGGAACUAGAUCCGCCGCGGAGGUGGGAACGAGGGCGCCAGCGAGGAAAGGGCGGGGUUACCGUGGAGGAGCGAGGCUCUCCGGAGAGCGGAGGCGGAGGAGGACAGAGACGAGGCCCUGUGGAGGAGCGCGCCCAGAGCGCGCGCGGCGGACGCCAUGGUGCCUGGUGGGCUGGUGGGUGGUGGCCACGGGAGAGGAAGCGCGCGCGGCAACUGUUCGACGAAUUGCGGCGCCCGGGCGGGGCUUGGGGCGGCCGCGGCUGGACUGCAGGCUGCGUGGAACCGGAUCUGAUGGGGAUUGGAGGGGAACGGCUCAGAUUCGACGUUUGUCCUGCCCGCCGACGAAUCUGAACCGUUGUCCACCGUGCGCUGCAGUCUGCAGGUUUGACACCUGGACUGGGUGUCCAAGACAUGCCAUCGCCGCAUACCAUAGCUGUCGUCAGUCAUCACGUGCCUAUUCCGCUUUCACUAGAGAGAAAAAAAAUCCUCGCUUGUGGAUGACUCAUGGGCCCAACAGCACGACUCACCGAGACCGCUACGCUGGGCCCCAUCCGCCAGAGACUUCUGGAAACGCCAUCCAAGCCGGCACUGAACAGCCGCAUCCGAGUGCGCCCCAAGCGUCGCGCAUCGGAAGCACUCCCGUCAGCGAUCCAACGGCCCAGGGACACACGGGCCCACAUGUCAUAGAACCCUCUCGCACCCUCCAGCUUCUUCGUCCACAGUCCCGUCGCUUCCUUCCAAGCUUCCACGCCCUUCUGGGCUCCCGGCGAACGCUCCACUCCGCCUUCUUAUGCUCACCGCUCUCCGGCACCGAGGCACAAGUACCAAGCAGAAACGCUAGCUGAAGCAACGCAAUCCCGCAAGCACCUGGUGAUCUUAUCUCAUUCAGAAGCCAGUAGAGAGGUAGAGAUAUUUCUUGCCGCUUGUUGUAGCAGAGUGUGAGGAGUAACAAGAGAGCGGCAGCUAUGAAUCCGGACAACUUCACGCACAAGACCAACGAGGCGCUGGUGGCGGCGCACGAGAUGGCGUCGGAGGCCGGCCACGCGCAGCUCACGCCGCUGCACCUGGCGGCGGCGCUGGCGGUGGACAAGGGCGGCAUCCUGCGCCAGGCCAUCACGGGGGCGUCGGGCGGCGACGGGGCCGCCGGGGACUCGUUCGAGCGCGUGCUGAGCAACGCGCUCAAGAAGCUGCCGUCGCAGUCCCCGCCGCCGGACUCGGUCCCGGCGUCCACGGCGUUGAUCAAGGUCAUCCGCCGCGCGCAGUCCGCGCAGAAGAAGCGCGGGGACUCCCACCUCGCCGUCGACCAGCUGCUGCUAGGCCUGCUCGAGGACUCACAGAUCUCCGACUGCCUCAAGGAAGCUGGCGUCUCCGCGGCGCGGGUGCGCGCCGAGCUCGAGAAGCUCCGCGGCGGGGAGGGCCGCCGCGUCGAGUCCGCGUCCGGGGACACCAACUUCCAGGCGCUAAAGACCUACGGCCGCGACCUCGUUGAGCAGGCCGGGAAGCUCGACCCCGUCAUCGGGCGCGACGAGGAGAUCCGCCGUGUGGUGCGUAUCCUCUCGCGCCGCACCAAGAACAACCCGGUCCUCAUCGGCGAGCCAGGCGUCGGGAAGACGGCCGUCGUAGAGGGCCUCGCGCAGCGCAUCGUCCGCGGUGACGUUCCCAGCAACCUCCUCGACGUACGCCUCAUCGCGCUCGACAUGGGCGCGCUCGUCGCCGGCGCCAAGUACCGCGGCGAGUUCGAGGAGCGCCUCAAGGCCGUGCUCAAGGAGGUCGAGGAAGCCGAGGGGAAGGUCAUCCUCUUCAUCGACGAGAUCCACCUCGUUCUCGGCGCGGGCAGGACGGAGGGUUCCAUGGACGCGGCCAACCUGUUCAAGCCGAUGCUCGCGAGGGGCCAGCUCCGGUGCAUAGGCGCCACAACUCUGGAGGAGUACCGCAAGUACGUGGAGAAGGACGCGGCGUUCGAGCGGCGGUUCCAGCAGGUGUUCGUCGCCGAGCCCAGUGUCGCCGACACCAUCAGCAUCCUGAGGGGGCUCAAGGAGAAGUACGAGGGGCACCACGGUGUGAGGAUCCAGGACCGCGCCCUCGUCGUCGCCGCGCAGCUCUCAGCGAGGUACAUCAUGGGCCGGCACCUGCCCGACAAGGCCAUAGAUUUGGUGGACGAGGCCUGCGCCAAUGUGAGGGUGCAGCUCGACAGCCAGCCGGAGGAGAUCGACAACCUCGAGAGGAAGAGGAUUCAGCUUGAGGUCGAGCUCCACGCACUCGAGAAGGAGAAGGACAAGGCCAGCAAAGCCCGGCUGGUUGAGGUGCGUAAUCUGAAUUACUGAAUUUUCUAGUCGUGUCUCAAAUCUCGAGUAAACGAGUCCUCUUUAUUUUCAUACCAACGUUGCUUAACUGUAACCAUUUUUUCAGGUCAAGAAGGAAUUGGACGAUUUGAGGGACAAGCUGCAGCCCCUGACCAUGAAAUACAGGAAGGAGAAAGAGAGGAUCGACGAGAUCAGGAAGCUGAAGCAGCGCCGUGAAGAGCUGAUGUUCAGUUUGCAGGAGGCCGAGCGCCGCAUGGACCUGGCCCGUGUGGCCGACCUCAAGUACGGCGCCCUCCAGGAGAUCGACGCCGCCAUCGCCAGGCUCGAGGGCGAGACAGGGGAGAACCUGAUGCUUACUGAAAACGUCGGUCCUGAACAAAUUGCAGAGGUAUGACUGCGACUACAGAAAUUUCUAGAGCGGUACUGAAUCCUCUUAUCGUGCAUUGUGCACCGUGCUGAAAUGGUGGCGUUUCUUGUGAGCAGGUGGUGAGCCGAUGGACUGGCAUUCCGGUGACCCGGCUCGGGCAGAACGACAAGGAGAGGCUGGUUGGCCUGGCUGACAGGCUGCACCAGAGGGUGGUCGGCCAGGCAGAGGCCGUGAGCGCCGUUGCGGAGGCGGUUCUCAGGUCGAGGGCCGGUCUUGGCCGGCCGCAGCAGCCCACCGGCUCCUUCCUCUUCCUGGGCCCGACUGGUGUGGGCAAGACCGAGCUCGCCAAGGCCCUCGCCGAGCAACUGUUCGACGACGAGAACCUGCUUGUCCGCAUUGACAUGUCCGAGUACAUGGAGCAGCACUCUGUCGCUCGGCUGAUCGGAGCACCACCUGGGUAAGUAGCACAUGCAAUCCUCAGAUUUUCAGUGACAUUUAGCUUGCAAUCAACUGGAUUUUGGGUGCUGACUUGGGAUUUCCGUGUCUGAAGCUAUGUUGGCCAUGAGGAGGGCGGGCAACUAACGGAGCAAGUGAGGAGGCGGCCGUACAGCGUGAUCCUCUUCGACGAGGUGGAGAAGGCGCACGUCUCCGUGUUCAACACGCUGCUGCAGGUGCUCGACGAUGGGAGGCUUACCGACGGGCAAGGCAGGACGGUGGACUUCCGGAACACCGUGAUCAUCAUGACGUCCAACCUCGGUGCUGAGCACCUCCUUGCCGGGAUGGUGGGCAAGAACUCCAUGAAGGUCGCUCGCGAUCUCGUCAUGCAGGAGGUAUGCAACUCGAAUCAUCCGGAACCAUCCAUGUGCAUUCGAAAUUUCUCCUCUUCUCUGCAAUGUGAUGCUCAAUUCGAGUGGGUUUGUUUUGUGUGUGUGUGUGCAGGUGAGGAGGCACUUCCGCCCUGAGCUGCUGAACCGGCUCGACGAGAUCGUGAUCUUCGAUCCCCUGUCCCACGAGCAGCUGAGGAAGGUCGCUCGCCUUCAGAUGAAGGACGUGGCCGUCCGUCUUGCCGAAAGGGGCAUCGCUCUGGCAGUCACCGACGCUGCGCUGGACAUCAUCCUGUCUCUUUCUUAUGAUCCGGUAUGUGAUCAUAGCAUCCAUUUGAAUUCUGAUCCGUCAGAAAACUUCUCAAGACAUUUCAAUUGCAUUGAUACUGACUCUGUUCCGUGAUCUUCAGGUCUAUGGCGCGCGGCCCAUCAGGAGGUGGAUCGAGAAGAGGGUGGUGACGCAGCUGUCGAAGAUGCUGAUCCAGGAGGAGAUCGACGAGAACUGCACGGUGUACAUCGACGCCGCGGCCGCCAAGGACGAGCUGGCCUACAAGGUGGACCGGAGCGGCGGGCUGGUGAACGCCGAGACGGGACAGAAGUCGGACAUCCUGAUCCAGGUCCCGAACGGCGCCGUCAGGGCCGACGCCGCGCAGGCCGUGAAGAAGAUGCGGAUCAUGGAGGAGGAAGACGAGGACGGCAUGGACGAGGAGUAGAGGUCCUGAUGGCCUUGCCCGGGCAGGCGGGGAAGCUACCAGCUCUUUUGGUCCGGCGCUGUCCUGGAGUGUUUGCCAAAUAAGCCUGUAGAUAAGCCGUGUUGCCAAGGCGUAAUGUGACGCUUGUGAAGAUGUUGUUUUGAACUCUGAUGCUUUUGUAAGGAGGUUGUUUGUCAAAACAUCUGCAGAGGAAUGGAUGGAUGAAUGAUGCUUUUGUAAGUCUUGGUACAUGCGACGGCGCCAAAAGAACUCUCAGUACAUUUGCUGAUCCAACUGAAUACUGAAUGUUCGCCUUUUUCAGUGAAAAUACUGAAAAUUUUCAUAUGUCCAUCAGAACUAUCCAAAAUCACAGAAACGCCUACGAAAAUAUGCAACUCUGAAGUCUGAAGAGACGAAGAAAUGUUCGUUGACGUGUGGCUUUCAGAGUUAGCUGAGAUAAAAAAUAGUACACUCCGUUUCAAUUUGUAAAUAGAUAUUAUUAGUAAUAUCCCGUUGCAAGAGGAGAAAAAAAUCGUCGCACUUAAAAUUCUAACUUAAUAAAUAUGUAAAAAAAAAUCAGAUGAUAACUUCUAAUUUAUGAUCCCAUUAACAAUUUCUAAAAUGUACAGAAAAAAAAAUCAUCGCACUUAGAAUCCUAACUUAAUAAAUAUGUAAAAAAUCAGAUGAUAACUUAAUAAUUUAUGAUCCCAUUAACAAUUUCUAAAAUGUACUUCAAAUUUGUGCGCAUAGAAUUCUAACUUGAUAAAUAUGUGAAAAAUUAGAUGAUACUUAUAAUUUAUGAUCCCAUUAACAAUUUCUAAAAUGUACUUCAAAUUUGUGCGCAAAUUGGUCUCAUUACCGUGACGGCGCCACACAGUGGGUUGGGUUGCAAGAGCAACCUUGAUGCACAUGGUGGAGCCAAAGAUCCAGGUUGGGUUGCAAGAGCAACCAUAAUGCACAUGGUAGAGCUAAAGAUUCAGGUUGGAGUGCAACAGCAACCAUGAUGCACAUGGUAGAGCCAAGGAUCCAGGUUGGUCGAAGCAGUAACAUCCAAAGGAGUAACACACAAAUGCAGUUGUUUUCUUUAGAGUUUGAGGGGGCGUUUGGAUAGCAGGGGCUAAACUUUAGUCCUGUCACAUCGGAUGUUCGGAUACUAAUUAGGAGGACUAAACAUAAGCUAAUUACAAAACUAAUUGCAGAACCCCUAGGCUAAAUGACGAGAUGAAUUUAUUGAACCUAAUUAAUCCAUCAUUAGCGAAUGAUUACUGUAGCACCACAUUGUCAAAUCAUGAACUAAUUAGGCUUAAUAGAUUCGUCUCGCGAUUUAGCCUAGAGGUUGUGUAAUUAGCUUUGUAAUUAGUCUAGGUUUAAUACUCCUAAUUAGUGUCCAAACAUUGGAUGUGAGGGAGCUACCCCUGAUUCAUGGAGUUCGAUUUGUGAAGAAAAUGGAGUUUCCUUUCCCUCGUACUAUGUGUUGUUGAUGUGAAUAUUUAAAAUAGUUGGUGAUGUGAGGCUGAGCUCACAUCUACUUUAUUAGAGGAAAUCUAGGCGCACGAAUCUUCUUCUCGAAGUCAAUAAUAUGAAGAGAUGGAAGUGGUGACACCAAUGUAUAACAUAAGUUACGUUGGUUGGUAUGUUUUUCAUGCACUCGUUUUGUUUUGAAAUCUGAAUUUAUUUGGAAAAAAAUAAAAGGUUUGAAUGACGCAAAACUCAUGACACUUUAUCCAAUAUAAACAGCUAGUGUUCCAAGCAUCAAUCAGGAUGGAAUUUUUUUCCCCCCUGAGGCUAGACUUCGUAUGCAUGGCCAUGCUCCGUGCCAAGCAAACCUUUCGUGCGAGACUGCGAGGGGAGUCCGGUGUAGAUUGCUGCUGCCCCUUCCAUCUUACAGCGCACAUGCGCUCAACCGGUCAGCUAGCCCAGGCUUGUGACACAUCGGCUCACAUGGCACGGCCACCAGCGACGCGUGGAGAAUUGAAGGGCGCGUGGAGCGUUCCUGCCGUACGCCCGUACGCGUGCAUAUACCGCGCAGGCGGGACAUGCGGUGCCAGCCAGAUUGCCGGCGUCUACGCCCUGAACCAGUUUAGGCCCCGUUUGAAUCCAGAAAGAUUUUGAGAAUCCGGAAUCCAAAAGCUGUACAGCUUCCAAUCAGCUUGGAUUCUGCUGCAGAUUCCACAAUCUGGAUUUUUGGAUUCUCAAAAUCCCGGAAGCUGGAGCGGGAUAGCUUUUAGCAGCUUGUGGAUGGAGAAAUUACCAUUUUGCCCAUGUUCAUCCGGUAAAAUUUCGCCCAAUCUGCCAUUCUUCUCUACCGCCUCCUCCUCUGGAUCUCUCCAUCUCCAUCUCCCGCACCCCACCGGAUCUCCAUCUCCCAGCCCCGCGCCUCCUCCCCGCCCGGCGUGCGGCGGGCCACCCGCCGCCCGGAGCUCCACCCCACCGCACCUCCUCCCCGACCAAGGUCCGGCGGGCCGCGCGCCGCCCGGGCCUCCGCUCGCACCGCGCGUCCUCCCCGUCCAAGCUCCGGCGGGCCGCGCGCCGCCGGGACCUCCGCCCCCACCGCGCCUCCUCCCCGGCCGCCGGGACCUCCGCCCCCACCGCGCCUCCUCCCCGUCCAAGCUCCGGCGGGCCGCGCGCCGCCCGGGCCUCCGCUCCCACCGCGCCUCCUCCCCGGCCAAGCUCCGGCGGGCCGCGCGCCGCCGGGACCUCCGCCCCCACCGCGCCUCCUCCCCGGGCAAGGUCCGGCGGGCCGCGCGCCGCCCGGGCCUCCGCUCCCACCGCGCCUCCUCCCCGGCCAAGCUCCGGCGGGCCGCGCGCCGCCGGGACCUCCGCCCCCACCGCGCCUCCUCCCUGCCCAGGUGCCGGCGGCCUGCACGCCGCCAGGAGCUCGGCCCCCACCGCGCCUCAUCCCCUCCCAAGUUGCACGCGCCGCCAGGCCCCCCUACCGUGCCUCCUCCCCACCCAAGUGUCGGGCCGCGCUCGCCUCCUUCUCCGUCCGCAGAUGAAGUCGCAAGGGGACCUCGACGACGACGAGUUCUUCAGCCAGCCCCCGAGCUUUUCCCUUGCGGCUUUCCCCUCUGGCGGUCGUGGCGCAGGACGUCGUCAUGUACCUGGCGGAUUGGAGGGUCUGGACCUCAACUCGGAGGCCAUGGACUUCAAUGACAACAUGUCGUACUUGGACCUUCUACGCUCAUCGCCUGCCAGAUUGGUUGGGGAUGGCGACCUCCUUGGUGGCGCUAGGCAUGGCGCUGGCCGUGCCCCCGGGCGUGGCGCCGGUCGUGGACGUGCUUCUAGCCGUGCCACUGGGCGUAGCGGCAGCUGUGGACGUCGUGCAGGUGAACAGGAUGUCGGCAUCCCUUCUCGGUCAGUUGGAGGUGCACGAGGACAUGCUCGUGCCACACCGAAUCGUCGUCCUACCACCACUGCAUCACGUCAAUUCCUUCCACCACGUCCUGCUGGAGGACAAAGCAGUGGCGCAACUCCUAGUGUUGCUGAUGAUGCAUUCGAUGUUGGUCUCCAGAAUCCUAGCACAUCUACAUGGAGCCUGAACCCCUCCAACGAAGAGGCCGACGAUCUUCAGGACAUUGAUGCAUCGGUAUAACUAUUUCCUUUUACUCACAUAUUUUAGUAAUUUCACUAGUGAACAGAAAAAGUGCAACAAUUGAGUUUUUACACAGGGAUUUCACAAAUUGAAGUGUAGCCAUCAGUAUGGAAGGAAACAAGAUUAGGCAGUACAUAAAUAGAUUGAUAUGAAUCACCUGGGAUCAGGCACAUCUAUAUGGACAAGUUGGACCACAUACUAUGUUAGGAAUAUAAACUGUAGAGUUCAGGAUACAGCAUAGUGAUGUAGCAUUGGAACCAGAUCUAUUGGUGGCAAGCUAUUGAGCAUGUCAGUAUAUUGAUUCGCAUCCCUUUCGAAUUGAAUAUACGGAGGAAUGUAGGAAACUGUGUUGCAACAAUCAGAUUACUGUGAUAUCAAAUCAAGUUCUGCAAUUUAUAAUACUAUGGACCGUACGAUUUACAGUUGCGAAAAUAUAAGAAGCAAAAGCAUAUCGAUUACAUUCCUUUUCUCCUGAAUAUACGAAGAAUAUUAUGAAACUGUGUUGUAAUAAUCGGAUUAUUAUGAUAUCAAACCAAGUUCCCUAAUUGAUGAUAUACUAUGAUCCUUACCAUCUAUCAAGUUUCUGUAUUAUAUAUUUGUAUGACCCAAGGAAUCUACAAUAUUAUGGUAGCACCUUUCUAGAUAUUUCUGUUAUCAUUUUCAUGUGCCUACCGUAAGUGUUCCCAAAAUAGCUCUCUUGUAACUAGAGGGGAGUUGUAUAUUUCUGUAGUUAGUCUGGGCACCAAGGAAAGACCUUAUGACAUUAUUUACAAAUUGUCUGCAACGUCGUGCAACAUUGUUGAACUAACAUAAGUUUAUUCAAGUUGCAACUGUUAUACUUUAAUUCAGCUGACAGUCUUUGACGUGCUUCACUCAAAGCAUAUGACAGUGGAAAUUGUGGGAUGAAUGGUAGUUGCUAUAUUGUAUUUUUUAUCCACUUGACUCAGUUCUAUUUUUUCACCUGUGUCAUCAUAAUUCUAUUUGUAUAAUAGACCGACGACCUAUUUGACAAGGCUGACUGGGCCAAUAGCGCCAAUAAUGCUGCAUUCUGUGAGCUUUGUGUUGAGGAAAUUACAGCCGGUAACAGCAAUAAAGGACACUUGACUAAUAGGGCCUACAACAACAUAGCUGCGAAAUUUGAAGAGAGGACAGGACUGCGUCACUCCAAGCAGCAGUUCAAGAACCGAUGGGAUGCCCUUCGACGCAUGUAUGCCUUCUGGUUGUAUGCAAACAAACAGAGUGGACUUGGAUGGGGUAGGGGCACGGUCGUGGCAGAUGACGCUUGGUGGAAAAAGCACACAAAGGUAUUUGACGCCUAUCCCCUGCUACUUCCAUAUUGAACAUACUUGUGAGACAUAAGCUUUGUGCAUUAAUAUCUUUUCUAUAUUCAUUUCAGAAUCAUGGCGAAUGGAGGAAGCUGCGAUAUGGGCCUCCAGAUAAUCUAGAUGAGCUUCAAGUGAUGUUUCAGAAUAUUGCGGUGGAUGGGUCAUCUUCUUGCAUACCUGGCGAACAGGUAAUUGAAAGUGAUGAAGGUGAUGAAGGUGAUGUUGGUGACAGGAGUCCUGAACGUACCCUUCCUAGAAAGCGGUGCAGGAGUACUAGCACUACUGCAACUAGCCCGAGGAAGAGGACAAAGAGUCCUAUGGUGAAGGUAAUGAAGGGGAUAUGGGAGACUAUGCAAGAAAAUUGUGCUGUUGCUCAGAAGGCAUUGCAGGGGGACUACAUUUUCGAAUCUGUACAACACUGUAUGCGUUUGGCGGUAGAGAGUGGGGCAGUUGAAGGAACUGAUGAGCAUUUUAUGGCUAGCAAAUUAUUUGUCAAAACAGAGCAUCGUGCCGUGUUUCUCAGUUUGACCACCAAAGAAGGAAGGCUAGCCUGGUUGAAGAGGUGGUGCCAGGAGAAGAAAAACAAGUAGACAAUAAACUUGAAGGUCUCUUUUGUGAUGUGUGAUGGGCAGGAGAAGGAAAGAAGUACACAGUUAACUUGUGGCAUGUAUAUAUGAUCUCUUUUGUGAUGUGCUGUCCAGAAGAAGAACAACAAGUAGUUUGUGAAGUAUGGCAUGUAUAUAUGACAAACUCUUUUGUUAUGUGGGAUGUCUAUUUUGUUAAAGUCUGUGUUAUGGUUAUAUAUUAGUCAUCACCUUUUAUUUGGGAUUUUUGUUUGACGUAUUUUUGUGUUAUGUAGAUGACCUAUUCCUCAAGUGAUGAUGAUGAUGAGUCAGCGAGUAAAUCUUCUUCAACUGAUGAAGAUGAAGUAAAUAGGAAUGCACUGGGACAAUUGGAGCUUGUGCAUCAAUUUGGAGCUGUGGCCUGCAUUUUCGGUAUGUACUACGAAUCUGCUUUCAUGAACAAAACUAAGAAGGUGAAAACUGGUCUUUCUGGAUAUGAGUGGGUCAUGACAACACUUAGCAAUCCAACAGCUUGCUACGACAUGUUUAGAAUGAGUAGGGAACUUUUUUGGCGGCUGCAUGAUGUGUUGGUGUCAUCAUAUGGACUGAACUCAUCAAAAAGGAUGAGCUCCAUUGAGUCAUUGGCUAUGUUCUUGUGGAUCAUUGGAGCACCACAAUCAUUGAGACAAGCUGAAAAUCGUUUUGAGAGGUCGAUUGAGAUGGUUAGUAGGAAAUUUGAACAAGUCUUGGAUAGUGUAUUUAGGCUCUCAGCUGAUGUUAUAAAACCUAGAGAUCCUCAUUUUAGAACAGUCCAUCCUAGAUUGCGGAAUCCUCGGUUCUCACCUCACUUUGACAAUUGCAUUGGGGCAAUAGACGGAACGCACAUCCCGGUUGUUGUUCCAUCGUCAAAAGUGCUUCAAUAUGUUGGUCGACAUGGUUACUCGAGUCAAAACGUAUUGGCUAUUUGUGACUUCGACAUGAGAUUCACGUUUGCGGUUGCGGGAUGGCCGGGGUCUGUACAUGACAUGAGGGUUUUCAACGACGCAAUAAACAAAUAUGGUGAUAAGUUCCCUCAUCCGCCACAAGGUAAAUAAGCAUGUUAUUUAAAUGUGGCAAAAAUUAUUGGUUCUAUGUUACAAUUAUGCAAUUUUAUGUAUUAGGGAAAUUUUAUCUUGUGGAUUCGGGGUACCCUAAUCGACCGGGUUAUCUUGCACCUUAUAAGGGAACGAAGUAUCAUUUGCCGGAAUUUCAACAAGGUCCAAGACCAAGAGGUAAAAAAGAGGUAUUCAAUUAUUUGCACUCAUCCCUGCGCAAUGUCAUUGAGCGGUCAUUUGGAGUAUUGAAGAUGAAAUGGCGGAUGUUGUUAGACUUGCCGAGUUAUCCAUUGAAUAAGCAAAGCAAAAUAAUCCUUGCUUCGAUGGCUCUACAUAAUUUCAUUCGAGAAAGUAAUAUGAGGGAUCAAGACUUUGAUAUGUGUGACCAAGAUGAGGAGUACAUGCCAAUGCCGACGACAGCUGCUUCUCAAGCAAGUGGUGCUACGAACCUUUUAGGUGACGAGGAUAUCGACAUGAAUGCGUUUCGAGAUGCUAUAGCAAAUGCUUUGUUUCAUAAUGAAGAGUAAAGCUAUGUGAGAGGGUGUUUGUAUUGACAAAUAUUAUGUAGAACCUGUAUGCCGUUGCAUUCUUGCACUUAGGAAAUUUUUUUGUCUUGACUGAUGACGCAUGAAAUAGAAGGGCAAAAAAGACAUGUAUGCAACAAACAACAAAAAAGUUAGAUUUUGGAAUCUAGAAUCCAAACAGGUUCAUUCAGAUUUUAUCCAGAAUUCAGAUUUUGGAAAUCCAUCAGAAUCCAGAUUUUGAGAAUCCAGAUUCUGGAUCCAAACGGGACCUUAGUCGUCCGCUCAGCCUCAUCCUCUCACCGCUCCAUGCUCGUUCCUUGUGUCACUCUCACCUGCCUGCAUCUCUCUCCGUCCUCUGCCGAGCGUGCGUCCUCCUUGCGAGGGAGGCCUACGGCGAACGCACAAGCUGCUUCGUGCAAGUUCGUAGCAGCAGGUGAGCCUGCCCAUGGCGGCAGCGCGCCCCCUGGACACUCGAGGAUGGUGACGCCGGUUCCACCGUUUAUCGAGUACACACAUGGGUUGCCCCAUGUUCAUCCGGGUGGGUCUUGUUGUCUUUUGUUCUUUGAUUCUCAAGAUUUAUGGAUUGCUUCCUAGAUUCCUCUUGUCGAUUUGGCCCCUGAUUUUAGUUCGAUUGUUGCAGAUUCCACUUGUUGCUUCAUGUUUAGUCCUCCUAAUUAGCAUCUGAACAUCGAUAGCAUCUUGACCCAGCUAAAGUUUAGCACCUCGUAUCAAACACCCCUAAAUCACUCUUUUUCACGAUGCCGAGUUAGUUCAUGAUGAUGCUACUGGUGACAUCUUUGGCGGUACCUCAGGUCUUUACACCAACAAAAGUAAAUGCGUGAUAUCUCCAAUUCAGUGUGUAGUGGUUUGGAGGAGACGGGGACGAUACUCCACUUUUUUUUUUCUCUGGGAGGUUGGAGCCGUUCCCAUGUCGAUACCUGAGAAUCCCACUGUCAAUUCAUGAAAAACUGAUCUUCAGUCACAUCUCGACAAAGGUGGGAGAUGGUUUGGUUCGACAACUUGGAAAGCACAUCUACUUAUGGUGUGUUUGGUUUGAGGAAUCUAGAUGAGAUUAUUGUCAAUCGUGAGUUGAUCGGUAAAAUUUAGUGUAAAAUUUAGUGGGAUAAUCCUAUCCUCGGUUAUACUAUUUAUUAGUUUGUGAGGGGUGGUUAUACUAUUUAUUAGUUUGUGAGGGAUGAAGCGGUGAGGGUUCAAGUCAUUCAAUUCCACAGACAAAAUGGUUAUACUAUUUAUUAGUUUGCGAGGGACGAAGCGGGGAGAGUUCAAGUCAUUCAAUUCCACAGACAAAAAAAGUGAGCAGUGAGAAGAUGAGACAUGAAUUCAUUCCACAGUCCUUGCUGAAGUCAAAGUGCCCUCAGUUCCAAUCCCUAUUGCGUAUGAGAUGGCUCUGGAUUGUGGUAUCUACAACGUCCGUUCCUGCUUGCUUGUGCUGAAGCUGACCAGGUGCAGCAACUUAAGUUGGAUUUGGAAAUCGGCGUCAUCCUAUGUAAUCAUCUUUGAUCUCACCAAAGACAAGAUGUUGUACUUGUACAUGAACGUAGUACUCAAGUGGCCAAGGUGACGCCGCACGGGGUAGUAGCAUAUAUAGAGAGAUUACGAAUCUUUCAAGUAGUUGUCGACAAAAAAAAUGUCUUAACAAGUUAAUCAUCCUUGUAGCUAAUACCCAUUGACACUAGCAGCUUACAACCGAAGUGCCACUUGCACUGGUUGUUAUAUAUAGGAAAGACCAACUUCCCGUUGACACUACUAGGAAGCCGUGCAACUGCCUCUAAAACGAGUUAAUACGCCGUCAUCUCCCACAGAACAGCAUCAAUUCAUCAAAUAGAAUUCUGGUAUUCGUACAACGGAGGAGCCGUACGGGUAGCAGCAGGACUAGCCGGGUUCACAACGCCAUGCCGUAACAGCACUGGCGACUGCGUCGUGCGCGUUUAGCAUUACCAUUCCACUAUAUAAGGUCCGCUGCCGUUCUGAUCAAAAGUAGGCCACGUUCGAAGCGUGCAAAACCAUCUAGCAGAGACUAGAGAUAAGCAAGCAUAAUGAUCCAGGCUAUUAAUCAACAUCUUUGAGCAAAUGGGAGGUGUUGGUCAAUACGCAAUUAGGGUGGUAAAGGGUCCUCUAAUUGAGCCUCAAUAAGGGUUGGGUCAUAGUAUUAUAUAAUUUUGAAAUAGGAUUGAGUUGGAUUGUAAAGGAAGUAUAAGGGUUACGAUCUACUAUUACCCCUGUACAAUUCAUGGUGGUAACAUAAUGGCUCCUCUUUUAGUAACCGUGCGUACUUAGUUGGCUUCCUAUCUUAGAAUUGCAGACUUGUAGCUGUGAGCUGCCUUUUCUGUUGGUGCUGUCAUGCUUUGGCAUUUGAAGUUGUGGUAACCUACCGGUAUCUGUAAUAUAUUAUUAUUUGCUAUUGAAGAUAACGGAUUUAUAUUGAAGACUUACUCGUGGAUGAGUAAGGUUUAAGCAUGGGAAUGGGAAGAUUAUUGACGCUCACUAUUAACACACUUUUAGCCCUCUUUUAUCUUCAAUAAUGAAAUGAAUUAAAUACCUAAACUAUUGAUUACACCGAAUAUACAAUGUAUUUUGGAGGAUGUUGUAUUUUUGCAGGAAAUUAAUAUUCAAGUUGCUACCAUCCUUCUCUAAUAUGGAGGGUACAACCUUGCCCUUAGUUGAUUCUAAGUAACUCCAUCCACGUUGAAGGUGUUGCAUAGCUGCGUAAACGCUUGUAGAUGAAGAUUAGCAUCCUCCUAGUGAAAGGUGAACUCUGCAAGAUUCUAAGUCUUGAAGUAUCGAUCCCAAACGGUCGGCCGACGCCGCCUAAUUCAUGGAUAGGUAAGAUAUUGAUGUUCAGGAUGCAAAGUUCCCCGAUAGUAGGCUCUUGCUCCGGUUGUUGAUCUCCCAUUUCAGGUGCUUGCGGUACUUCUGGAGUAACUGUUGUUCCUCCUGAACUUGCUGGUGGUGUCGACUUUAGAGUAGACGAUGACGAUGAUGAUGUUUCUAAAGCUUUCAAUUCUUCCUUAACAGCUGAAGCUUCGAUCUCCAGCUUUCUUGCUUGUGCUAAACAUCUUCAUUGCCUCUAAAAUUUUUCUAGAUCAUACACAAAAUUUUUUGGUUUGUUGGAGACAUCUCCUAUUAGCAUUAGUGAAAGUAAACACAUAUAUACAAGAACUAGAUCUGAAAUUUUGAUUGAGAUUGCACAAAAACAAAAA
RNAcentral lists this long non-coding RNA (28246 nucleotides) under Setaria viridis. RNAcentral describes it as "long non-coding RNA (SVIR_LNC002711)". The record is from RNAcentral. Lineage: Eukaryota; Viridiplantae; Streptophyta; Magnoliopsida; Poales; Poaceae.